GAUGAACGCUAGCUACAGGCUUAACACAUGCAAGUCGAGGGGAAACGACAUCGAAAGCUUGCUUUUGAUGGGCGUCGACCGGCGCACGGGUGAGUAACGCGUAUCCAACCUGCCCAUCACUUGGGAAUAACCUUGCGAAAGUAAGACUAAUACCCAAUGACAUCCCACGAAGACAUCUGAAUGGGAUUAAAGAUUUAUCGGUGAUGGACGGGGAUGCGUCUGAUUAGCUUGUUGGCGGGGUAACGGCCCACCAAGGCAACGAUCAGUAGGGGUUCUGAGAGGAAGGUCCCCCACAUUGGAACUGAGACACGGUCCACACUCCUACGGGACGCAGCAGUGCGGAAUAGUGGGCAAUGGGCGAGAGCCUGAACCAGCCAAGUAGCGUGCAGGAUGACGGCCCUAUGGGUUGUAAACUGCUUUUAUAAGGGAAUAAAGUGGGUCUCGUGAGACUUUUUGCAUGUACCUUAUGAAUAAGGACCGGCUAAUUCCGUG
RNAcentral lists this ribosomal RNA (492 nucleotides) under uncultured bacterium. Its description in RNAcentral is "partial 16S ribosomal RNA". It matches the Rfam family "Bacterial small subunit ribosomal RNA", at positions 28 to 507 of the family's 1533-position model. The record is from RNAcentral.